Molecule: ribosomal RNA, 380 nt
Filed under: uncultured bacterium
Lineage: Bacteria
Description: partial 16S ribosomal RNA
Rfam family: Bacterial small subunit ribosomal RNA
Source: RNAcentral
CCUACGGGUGGCAGCAGUGGGGAAUAUUGCACAAUGGACGCAACUCUGAUGCAGCGACGCCGCGUGAAGGAAGAAGGCUCUCGGGUUGUAAACUUCUUUCAAUGGGGAAGAAAAUAAGACGGUCCCCCUUGAAUAAGCCAGAGCUAACUACGUCCCAGCCCCCGCGGGAAUACGUAGGUGGCACGCGUUGUCCGUAUGGACUGGGUGGACAGGGCGUGCAGGCGGGCAGACAAGUCGGAUGUGAACUCCGCGGGCUCAACCUGCGAACUGCAUUUGACACUGGGUCGAUGGAGUAUUGGAGGGGUGAGCGGAAUUCUGAGUGUAGCGGUGAAAUGCGUAGAUAUGAGGAGGAACACCGGUGGCGAAGGCGGAUGACUGGA